This 668-nucleotide long non-coding RNA is filed under the name Ananas comosus (pineapple). RNAcentral describes it as "long non-coding RNA (ACOM_LNC017073)". The record is from RNAcentral. Lineage: Eukaryota; Viridiplantae; Streptophyta; Magnoliopsida; Poales; Bromeliaceae.
AAAUUUAAGAUAAAUAUUUAAAUAUACUGUUUAUUUUAUAAAAUUUAAUAUAGUAUCAAAGCGAAUCUUAUCGAGUAUAACGAUCCGACCCGCUAGCAACAAUAACUCGUUGGGCCAAACCAUCGGCCCAAAAUGCCAGUUAUUAUUAUUAGCGUGUAGACCUUAUAUAAACUAGUCGAAAUCAGGCAUUACACCGUUAUUAUUAUUAGCGUGUAGACCUUAUAUAAACUAGUCGAAAUCAGGCAUUACACCGUUAUUAUUAUUAGCGUGUAGACCUUAUAUAAACUAGUCGAAAUCAGGCAUUACACCGUUAUUAUUAUUAGCGUGUAGACCUUAUAUAAACUAGUCGAAAUCAGGCAUUACAAACUCCCUCUCUUUAUACCCUGACGUCCUCGUCGGGUCCAAAUCAGAUCACAGACAGACACCCGCAUAGCACUUAGCUCUCAUACUUCCGGCUGAUAUUCGGCUUUGAUAUCAAUUACAACGACCCAACCCGCUAGAAACAAUAACUCGUUGGACCCAAACCACCGGCCCAAAAUGCUUAAGGCUAGUUAUUAUAACAAGCGUGUAAGUCUCAUAUAAACUGAUCGGAAUCAAUAUCCCAUCCGAUGUGGGACUAUUGGAGCGUUACAUCGAUCUUCUUGCUUUGUUUAAUUCAGUAGAGAGAU